Molecule: transfer RNA, 76 nt
Filed under: Rhodococcus (subgen. Prescottella) equi
Lineage: Bacteria; Bacillati; Actinomycetota; Actinomycetes; Mycobacteriales; Nocardiaceae
Description: Rhodococcus hoagii tRNA-Val
Rfam family: tRNA
About the family: Transfer RNA (tRNA) molecules are approximately 80 nucleotides in length. Their secondary structure includes four short double-helical elements and three loops (D, anti-codon, and T loops). Further hydrogen bonds mediate the characteristic L-shaped molecular structure. tRNAs have two regions of fundamental functional importance: the anti-codon, which is responsible for specific mRNA codon recognition, and the 3' end, to which the tRNAs corresponding amino acid is attached (by aminoacyl-tRNA synthetases). tRNAs cope with the degeneracy of the genetic code in two manners: having more than one tRNA (with a specific anti-codon) for a particular amino acid; and 'wobble' base-pairing, i.e. permitting non-standard base-pairing at the 3rd anti-codon position.
Source: RNAcentral
GCGCGAUUAGCUCAGCGGGAGAGCGCUUCCCUGACACGGAAGAGGUCACUGGUUCAAAUCCCAGUAUCGCGCACCA